UUAAGCGACUAAGCGUACACGGUGGAUGCCCUGGCAGUCAGAGGCGAUGAAGGACGUGCUAAUCUGCGAUAAGCGUCGGUAAGGUGAUAUGAACCGUUAUAACCGGCGAUUUCCGAAUGGGGAAACCCAGUGUGUUUCGACACACUAUCAUUAACUGAAUCCAUAGGUUAAUGAGGCGAACCGGGGGAACUGAAACAUCUAAGUACCCCGAGGAAAAGAAAUCAACCGAGAUUCCCCCAGUAGCGGCGAGCGAACGGGGAGNUGUGUGUUAGUGGAAGCGUCUGGAAAGGCGCGCGAUACAGGGUGACAGCCCCGUACACAAAAAUGCACAUGCUGUGAGCUCGAUGAGUAGGGCGGGACACGUGGUAUCCUGUCUGAAUAUGGGGGGACCAUCCUCCAAGGCUAAAUACUCCUGACUGACCGAUAGUGAACCAGUACCGUGAGGGAAAGGCGAAAAGAACCCCGGCGAGGGGAGUGAAAAAGAACCUGAAACCGUGUACGUACAAGCAGUGGGAGCACGCUUAGGCGUGUGACUGCGUACCUUUUGUAUAAUGGGUCAGCGACUUAUAUUCUGUAGCAAGGUUAACCGAAUAGGGGAGCCGAAGGGAAACCGAGUCUUAACUGGGCGUUAAGUUGCAGGGUAUAGACCCGAAACCCGGUGAUCUAGCCAUGGGCAGGUUGAAGGUUGGGUAACACUAACUGGAGGACCGAACCGACUAAUGUUGAAAAAUUAGCGGAUGACUUGUGGCUGGGGGUGAAAGGCCAAUCAAACCGGGAGAUAGCUGGUUCUCCCCGAAAGCUAUUUAGGUAGCGCCUCGUGAAUUCAUCUCCGGGGGUAGAGCACUGUUUCGGCAAGGGGGUCAUCCCGACUUACCAACCCGAUGCAAACUGCGAAUACCGGAGAAUGUUAUCACGGGAGACACACGGCGGGUGCUAACGUCCGUCGUGAAGAGGGAAACAACCCAGACCGCCAGCUAAGGUCCCAAAGUCAUGGUUAAGUGGGAAACGAUGUGGGAAGGCCCAGACAGCCAGGAUGUUGGCUUAGAAGCAGCCAUCAUUUAAAGAAAGCGUAAUAGCUCACUGGUCGAGUCGGCCUGCGCGGAAGAUGUAACGGGGCUAAACCAUGCACCGAAGCUGCGGCAGCGACACUAUGUGUUGUUGGGUAGGGGAGCGUUCUGUAAGCCUGUGAAGGUGUGCUGUGAGGCAUGCUGGAGGUAUCAGAAGUGCGAAUGCUGACAUAAGUAACGAUAAAGCGGGUGAAAAGCCCGCUCGCCGGAAGACCAAGGGUUCCUGUCCAACGUUAAUCGGGGCAGGGUGAGUCGACCCCUAAGGCGAGGCCGAAAGGCGUAGUCGAUGGGAAACAGGUUAAUAUUCCUGUACUUGGUGUUACUGCGAAGGGGGGACGGAGAAGGCUAUGUUGGCCGGGCGACGGUUGUCCCGGUUUAAGCGUGUAGGCUGGUUUUCCAGGCAAAUCCGGAAAAUCAAGGCUGAGGCGUGAUGACGAGGCACUACGGUGCUGAAGCAACAAAUGCCCUGCUUCCAGGAAAAGCCUCUAAGCAUCAGGUAACAUCAAAUCGUACCCCAAACCGACACAGGUGGUCAGGUAGAGAAUACCAAGGCGCUUGAGAGAACUCGGGUGAAGGAACUAGGCAAAAUGGUGCCGUAACUUCGGGAGAAGGCACGCUGAUAUGUAGGUGAAGCGACUUGCUCGUGGAGCUGAAAUCAGUCGAAGAUACCAGCUGGCUGCAACUGUUUAUUAAAAACACAGCACUGUGCAAACACGAAAGUGGACGUAUACGGUGUGACGCCUGCCCGGUGCCGGAAGGUUAAUUGAUGGGGUCAGCGCAAGCGAAGCUCUUGAUCGAAGCCCCGGUAAACGGCGGCCGUAACUAUAACGGUCCUAAGGUAGCGAAAUUCCUUGUCGGGUAAGUUCCGACCUGCACGAAUGGCGUAAUGAUGGCCAGGCUGUCUCCACCCGAGACUCAGUGAAAUUGAACUCGCUGUGAAGAUGCAGUGUACCCGCGGCAAGACGGAAAGACCCCGUGAACCUUUACUAUAGCUUGACACUGAACAUUGAGCCUUGAUGUGUAGGAUAGGUGGGAGGCUUUGAAGUGUGGACGCCAGUCUGCAUGGAGCCGACCUUGAAAUACCACCCUUUAAUGUUUGAUGUUCUAACGUUGACCCGUGAUCCGGGUUGCGGACAGUGUCUGGUGGGUAGUUUGACUGGGGCGGUCUCCUCCUAAAGAGUAACGGAGGAGCACGAAGGUUGGCUAAUCCUGGUCGGACAUCAGGAGGUUAGUGCAAUGGCAUAAGCCAGCUUGACUGCGAGCGUGACGGCGCGAGCAGGUGCGAAAGCAGGUCAUAGUGAUCCGGUGGUUCUGAAUGGAAGGGCCAUCGCUCAACGGAUAAAAGGUACUCCGGGGAUAACAGGCUGAUACCGCCCAAGAGUUCAUAUCGACGGCGGUGUUUGGCACCUCGAUGUCGGCUCAUCACAUCCUGGGGCUGAAGUAGGUCCCAAGGGUAUGGCUGUUCGCCAUUUAAAGUGGUACGCGAGCUGGGUUUAGAACGUCGUGAGACAGUUCGGUCCCUAUCUGCCGUGGGCGCUGGAGAACUGAGGGGGGCUGCUCCUAGUACGAGAGGACCGGAGUGGACGCAUCACUGGUGUUCGGGUUGUCAUGCCAAUGGCACUGCCCGGUAGCUAAAUGCGGAAGAGAUAAGUGCUGAAAGCAUCUAAGCACGAAACUUGCCCCGAGAUGAGUUCUCCCUGACNGUCCUGAAGGAACGUUGAAGACGACGACGUUGAUAGGCCGGGUGUGUAAGCGCAGCGAUGCGUUGAGCUAACCGGUACUAAUGAACCGUGAGGCUUAACCUU
This 2872-nucleotide ribosomal RNA is filed under the name Escherichia coli. RNAcentral describes it as "23S ribosomal RNA". It matches the Rfam family "Bacterial large subunit ribosomal RNA". Lineage: Bacteria; Pseudomonadati; Pseudomonadota; Gammaproteobacteria; Enterobacterales; Enterobacteriaceae. The record is from RNAcentral.